This 1077-nucleotide long non-coding RNA is filed under the name Helianthus annuus (common sunflower). RNAcentral describes it as "hypothetical non coding rna". The record is from RNAcentral. Lineage: Eukaryota; Viridiplantae; Streptophyta; Magnoliopsida; Asterales; Asteraceae.
UUUGCUCAACCAAAACCCAAGCCUCCAUUCCCCUUCUACUCGCAGCCUUCAGACACAGCAAACCCUAGCCUCCCUUCCCAUCUACUCGUCUAUCAAGAAGCUGCUACCAAUUUUCAUCGUUGCAGGCGACAAUGAUCUACGACGUCAACUCUCCGUUGUUUCGCUCCUUCCUUAGCCAGAAAGGAGGCUCAUCUGAUAAGAGGUCAACAUGAAGUUUUUGCCUCGGGCUCAAUUAAGGACUUGAUAGCACAUCCGGAGCAUCGAUACCCUAUAUCGGGUUCAUCACUUCUUGCAACUAUGGAUGAAAAGCACUCAACUCUCUUCUUGUGAUCUUGACAAAGAACAAACUGAUACAUCACAACUGAAGUUAAAUGGACACAUGGACUUGGUAUUACGGCAGAGAUGCUUGGUUAGCUCACUAGUGGCCUUGAAUUCGCUUGGAACAAACUCAAGGGCGAAGGUCUUUCUUCUAUCUUUAAUGUCUUUUUUUAUUGUUGUUUUAAUGGUCUUAAUUUGAUUGUUUUUGUUUGUUAACGAUGAAUAUAUUAGUUAGGUUUUAUUGUUAUUAUUGUCUUGUAUUAUAUAUAAUUUAUUAGUUAGGGUUUAUUGUAAUUAUUUCGAUAGUAAUUAGGAGAUUGACUUGAUUAGGUUUCGUAAAUGGGUUAAAAGAUCCAAUUUGUGUGCCGGUUAAGGUUGCUGGUAAAUGAGUAUAUUGUGUGUAAAUGACAUAUGAAGUCAUUUAAAUUCGAAUUUUUGUUAAUUUGAGAUCAUAAAAUGAUUAUACUGUGUGGGGUUAUAAUCCUUGCCUUUUCGUUUUGCAAUUGGUAUACCUGAUGCUCCGGUCAAUGUUGGUGACGAGACAAACAAAGAUAAAAGGAGUUACGAAGAUCAUCAAGUUAUAUUUCAAGGAAAAAAUCUUAGUUCCAGUUGGUCCUAGCUUAGGGGCUCGGUAUCCAUUUCGAGAUAAAUCCUAACUUUAAGUUGAAAUUAUUGUUAUCACUUUGACACCAUUGGUGGUGACUGAACAGAGGGUUUGUGAUUUAUAUAUUUUUUAGCUUAAAAUAUCCAAAUUUUAAU